This 348-nucleotide unclassified non-coding RNA is filed under the name soil metagenome. RNAcentral describes it as "partial contains 5.8S ribosomal RNA, internal transcribed spacer 2, and large subunit ribosomal RNA". The stretch from base 1 to 120 matches the Rfam family "5.8S ribosomal RNA", at positions 35 to 154 of the family's 154-position model. The record is from RNAcentral.
GAUGAAGAACGCAGCGAAAUGCGAUAAGUAAUGUGAAUUGCAGAAUUCAGUGAAUCAUCGAAUCUUUGAACGCACAUUGCGCCCGCCAGUAUUCUGGCGGGCAUGCCUGUCUGAGCGUCAUUUCAACCCUCAUGCCCCUAGGGCGUGGUGUUGGGGAUCGGCCAAAGCCCGCGAGGGACGGCCGGCCCCUAAAUCUAGUGGCGGACCCGUCGUGGCCUCCUCUGCGAAGUAGUGAUAUUCCGCAUCGGAGAGCGAAGAGCCCCUGCCGUUAAACCCCCAACUUUCCAAGGUUGACCUCAGAUCAGGUAGGAAUACCCGCUGAACUUAAGCAUAUCAAUAAGCGGAGGA